CUAUCACGAUCAGUUUAUCGACCUCAAGGAGGAACUGCGCCAAGCCCUCAUGUCGGAGCAGGUGCCCGAGCCGCUGCCGGAGGACGCCGCGGAGCGCAGCCCCUGCCCGAUGCCGCUGCGGGGACCCGUCCUGCGCUUCCUGCGCCGCCACCGCCGCAGCCUGCCCAUGUACUACCCGGCCGCGGCCCCGCCGAGCGCAGCCCACAGCAGAGAUCUGCCCCGUGGAACCAGCUGAUGUGUUCACCAGAGCUGCACCUGCCGCAGGGUGAGCGCCCAGUGCCCGUGGCACCGGUAACGUGACAGCUUCCCACAGGGGAUCCGAAUGGAACACCCAGGCAAGUCCCAGGCACCGCGUGGGACACUGCGCUGGAACCGGUCACUGUGGGUACACAUAGGAAAU
This 400-nucleotide long non-coding RNA is filed under the name Strigops habroptila (Kakapo). RNAcentral's name for it is "lncRNA (ENSSHBG00005004834.1)". The record is from RNAcentral. Lineage: Eukaryota; Metazoa; Chordata; Aves; Psittaciformes; Psittacidae.